RNAcentral lists this ribosomal RNA (497 nucleotides) under uncultured bacterium. RNAcentral's name for it is "partial 16S ribosomal RNA". It matches the Rfam family "Bacterial small subunit ribosomal RNA", at positions 28 to 507 of the family's 1533-position model. The record is from RNAcentral.
GAUGAACGCUGGCGGCGUGCCUAAUACAUGCAAGUCGAGCGAACAGAUAAGGAGCUUGCUCCUUUGACGUUAGCGGCGGACGGGUGAGUAACACGUGGGUAACCUACCUAUAAGACUGGAAUAACUCCGGGAAACCGGGGCUAAUGCCGGAUAACAUGUUGAACCGCAUGGUUCUACAGUGAAAGGCGGCUUUGCUGUCACUUAUAGAUGGACCCGCGCCGUAUUAGCUAGUUGGUGAGGUAACGGCUCACCAAGGCAACGAUACGUAGCCGACCUGAGAGGGUGAUCGGCCACACGGGAACUGAUACACGGUCCAGACUCCUACGGGAGGCAGCAGUAGGGAAUCUUCCGCAAUGGGCGAAAGCCUGACGGAGCAACGCCGCGUGAGUGAUGAAGGUCUUCGGAUCGUAAAACUCUGUUAUUAGGGAAGAACAAAUGCGUAAGUAACUGUGCGCGUCUUGACGGUACCUAAUCAGAAAGCCACGGCUAACUACGUG